This 355-nucleotide ribosomal RNA is filed under the name uncultured Pseudomonas sp. Its description in RNAcentral is "bacterial SSU rRNA". It matches the Rfam family "Bacterial small subunit ribosomal RNA", at positions 1032 to 1382 of the family's 1533-position model. Lineage: Bacteria; Pseudomonadati; Pseudomonadota; Gammaproteobacteria; Pseudomonadales; Pseudomonadaceae. The record is from RNAcentral.
AGACAGGUGGUGCAUGGUUGUCGUCAGCUCGUGUCGUGACGAUGUUGGGUUAAGUCCCGUAACCGAGCGUCAACCCUUGUACCUUAGGUUACCAGCACGUUAUGGUGGGCACUCUAAGGAGACUGCCGGUGACAACCGGAGGAAGGUGGGGAUGACGUCAAGUCAUCAUGGCCCUUACGGCCUGGGCUACACACGUGCUACAAUGGUCGGUACAAAGGGUUGCCAAGCCGCGAGGUGGAGCUAAUCCCAUAAAACCGAUCGUAGUCCGGAUCGCAGUCUGCAACUCGACUGCGUGAAGUCGGAAUCGCUAGUAAUCGUGAAUCAGAAUGUCACGGUGAAUACGUUCCCGGGCCUU